This 200-nucleotide ribosomal RNA is filed under the name Rhizophagus intraradices. The record is from RNAcentral. Lineage: Eukaryota; Fungi; Glomeromycota; Glomeromycetes; Glomerales; Glomeraceae.
CAGUCGUACCGGCGGAUAAUCAGCCUUUCGGGUGCGAUUCUGUGGGGCGUGAGGAGCUUAACCGCCUUUCAUGUUUUGCAUAUUCGUGCACAUUUGGUGUACUUGUCCGUGUGGUGGGUUAACAUCAAUUUCGGUCGUCAUAAAAUGAUUGGAGGAAUGUAGCUUUGAUCUCGUAUCGAAAAAGUCACCAAGAGAUCCCC